This is a long non-coding RNA of Arachis duranensis, 2912 nucleotides long. RefSeq lists it as uncharacterized. Lineage: Eukaryota; Viridiplantae; Streptophyta; Magnoliopsida; Fabales; Fabaceae. The transcript has 5 exons. The record is from RefSeq and is a predicted model, not a curated record.
UUUCCCCCACUCUUUGUUAUUAUUAUUAUUUGGCUAAAAAAUGCACUUUCUAGUUUCUAAUAGGUGCAUAACAAUAAAAUACUCUCAUAUGGGAUAACAUAAGUACAUAACUAAGGAAAUGGAAAUUGUUAACAUUACUAACCGAGUUAGAUCCCUUACUGCAUCGGGCCAUUGUUUCUACAUUUUGCUGUUCCAGAUCUUUGAGGUAUAGGCGGAAUGAAGGUUUUGACUAAGUCGUUUUAUUCUCUCCUGUCUUGAUCUUCCAAGGCUUUAGGUUCAUUUUCCCCCACUCUUUGUUAUUAUUAUUAUUUGGCUAAAAAAUGCACUUUCUAGUUUCUAAUAGGUGCAUAACAAUAAAAUACUCUCAUAUGGGAUAACAUAAGUACAUAACUAAGGAAAUGGAAAUUGUUAACAUUACUAACCGAGUUAGAUCCCUUACUGCAUCGGGCCAUUGUUUCUACAUUUUGCUGUUCCAGAUCUUUGAGGUAUAGGCGGAAUGAAGGUUUUGACUAAGUCGUUUUAUUCUCUCCUGUCUUGAUCUUCCAAGGCUUUAGAGAGAAGGUGUAUGGUAUGUAGACGUUUGCUAACUUUUUCACCAGCAGACCAUUUUUUGGUAUAUUUUUUCUGUCUUGGUAAUCAGCUCUUAUAUUAUGCUCUCAUUUAUGUUUUAGUUAUUUGUUUUCAGGUUUAUUUUGCUUCCACUGAGGUUUGUCUGUUUUAAUCAUAUGUCAGCAUUUGCUAUUUUAUUUUUAUUAUUUCUGAGGGGCAGAGCACAAUGAAUAGAGGAAUUAAUCUAUAUCUAUAUGUUAUUAUGGUGGAAACCCAUGAAAUUUGAUAAAGUACUUCAUCUUUUGCUAAUAAAUCAUGCUCAUAGGAGUGAUUUCCCCUUUUUUUGUCAAAAAACAAUUCAGGUUUGGUUGUAUAUGAAUCAUACUAUCUGAAGAAUCUCAGGAAAAGAGGACUAUUGCAACUCUUCCGGUUACAAAGACUAAAAAUGUCAGAAAGCUCAAUAUUCAAUAUUGCUUAGUGGAACUCCUGCCUUAUUCCGACCAAUAGAACUGUUCAAGCAGAUGGAAGCUUUGUAUCCUGAUGCAUAUAAGAGUGUUCAUUAAUAUGGUAACCGAAAUUGCAAGGAUGGAGUUUUUGGAGUUUAUCAAGGGGUAAGUAAUCAUGAAGAAUUACACAAUUUGAUGAAGGUGACAGUGAUGAUACGAAGGCUUAAAAAAGUUGUUCUUUCUCAACUUCCUGUAAAUUGUAGGCAACAAGUGCGCUCGUUUAUCUCCAUCUCUUCUAUCCAAUCUGCAGUGCACUCUUUUGCUAUUGUUUGUUUCAAUCAAUGAGCAUUCACAGCAUGCUCAUGAAACUUGGAACUUUUUUUUUUUGUUGAUCCUCAGGUCUAGGGAUGUCAAUGGGGCGGGGGCGGGGGAUGCCUCCCUGCUCCCCGUCCUCGCCCCCAGAAUUAAUCCCCAUCCCCGCCCGAUCCCCGUCAUGGGGGGAUAAUUGUCCCCAUCCCCAUUCCCCGCAUUCCCCGUAUUCCCCGCAGGGCCCCAUUCCCCAUCCCCUUAUGUUUAACAUUCAUGUUAGUAAAAAAUAUCAAAAAAAUAAAAAACAAACUAGAAAAUACUAUUACAAACACAAACAUAUCUUAUCCAAGAUUAUAAGUCCACAAAUACAACAUAGUAAAUUAUAGUCCAUAAAAUAAAAUCUUAAAAUACAAUUUCCAUUCUAAAAAAAAAAAUAAGAUAUAGUCUUUAACAUCAAGUGGAAACUGGAGAGAGUUGGGGCUGUGGGAGAGAACAGCGUAUAGUGCUGUGGGAGUUUUGGAGUUUGAACAAAGUGGGAAUAGAGAGUAGAUGGCGCAGCAAACAACACAGUGAGUAGGGAAGAUUGAAUAAUAGGGUUAGGGUUUUUUAAUUGGUGAAAUUACUAAAAAACCCCUAUGUUAGAAAUAAAGUAAGGUUAUUUAAGAAAUUUCAAACAUUCGGGGAAUUAUCGAGGAUGGGGCGGGGAUCCCCGCUCGGGUCCUCACGCCUGUCUCGGGAGAAUUUUGCUCCCCAUCCCCAUCCCCACGGGGAAAAUUCCCCACAAUCGGGCCCCAUUCGGGGCGGUCCCUGCGGGGAUCCCCGCCUCCUGGGGAUUUUUGACACCCCUACUCAGGUCUUCUUAGACUUAGCUGACAAGGACAUGAAGCAAACUAAUGCUUUAUUCCGUGAAGUAAUUCAACAUAUUUGUUUUGCAUCUAUAUCUUGAGACUAGUAUAGCAUCAUGCAGUUCUUGUUAUUUGUGUUUGAGCUAGUUAUAGAAUACAAUUCCUAUUUUGUUGACAAUAUGCUUAUUUUGGGCAUAUAAUUUUUUUUUUUUGUAUUUUCUCGACUGUGGAUGUCAUUUAUUUGAACUAUGUGAUUGUUAUUUAGAUUAUGAGUAAUUUUCUAAAACUUCCACUUCUGAAAACGGUUCAAAAAAUUUCUCACCACUCUUCACUGGUAAUGUUGUGGUAAGUUUUCUACUUUUCUUUCUAAAAUUUGGUUAUUUGACUUGGAAAUGGUAAUAUGUACUCUCCAUUUUCAGUUUGAGUCUUGGUAAAAUCUAACCAAUAUUAGUUUCUUUUUUCUUUUUUUUUUAUUUUUAUUUUUUAUUUUUUAUACUGCAGUUGGAGGUGGUAAAACCGUAAAAGCCAAAAUUAAGUCUGUCAAAUCAAAAGAUGAGGGUGAAUCUCUUAAGUUUACUCAUAAGAAUCUGAUUGACAAGGUUUGCACAGCUCUGAACAUAAUGUUGACUUGUACAAUUUGUUUGGAAGUUUUUCUUAUUACCUAGAACUAUGAUAGGUUUAUAGUUUCUACUGCAACAUUUUCUCAGGCCUUGGCCUAUAUGCGAGUAGUUUAAAUCAUUUUGACUGGUAUAUGAUCAAAACU